Molecule: ribosomal RNA, 333 nt
Filed under: uncultured bacterium
Lineage: Bacteria
Description: partial 16S ribosomal RNA
Rfam family: Bacterial small subunit ribosomal RNA
Source: RNAcentral
CCUACGGGAGGCAGCAGUGAGGAAUAUUGGUCAAUGGGCGCGAGCCUGAACCAGCCAAGUAGCGUGAAGGAUGACUGCCCUACGGGUUGUAAACUUCUUUUAUAAAGGAAUAAAGUGAGGCACGUGUGCCUUUUUGUAUGUACUUUAUGAAUAAGUAUCGGCUCACUCCGUGCCAGCAGCCGCGGUAAUACGGUGGAUCCGGGCGUUAUCCGGAUUUAUUGUGUUUAAAGGGAGCGUAAAGGGGUUGUUAAGUCAGUUGUGAAAGUUUGCGGCUCAAACGUAAAAUUGCAAUUGAUACUGGCAGGCUUGAGUACAGUUGAGGUAGGCGGAAUU